CAGCCGCCGCGGUAAUACGUAGGGUGCGAGCGUUAAUCGGAUUUACUGGGCGUAAAGCGUGCGCAGGCGGCCCGUUAAGACAGGUGUGAAAUCCCUGGGCUCAACCUAGGAAUUGCGCUUGUGACUGGCGGGCUCGAGUACGGUAGAGGGGGGUGGAAUUCCUGGUGUAGCAGUGAAAUGCGUAGAGAUCAGGAGGAACACCGAUGGCGAAGGCAGCCCCCUGGGCCUGUACUGACGCUCAUGCACGAAAGCGUGGGGCGCAAACAGGAUUAGAUACCCUGGUAGUCAACGCCCUAAACGAUGGGUACUAGCCGUUUGGUGCGCGAUAGCGCUGAGUGGCGAAGCUAACGCGUGAAGUACCCCGCCUGGGGAGUACGGCCGCAAGGUUGAAACUUAAAGGAAUUGGCGGG
RNAcentral lists this ribosomal RNA (410 nucleotides) under uncultured microorganism. RNAcentral's name for it is "bacterial SSU rRNA". It matches the Rfam family "Bacterial small subunit ribosomal RNA", at positions 509 to 917 of the family's 1533-position model. The record is from RNAcentral.